This 929-nucleotide long non-coding RNA is filed under the name Equus asinus (donkey). RNAcentral's name for it is "lncRNA (ENSEASG00005031918.1)". The record is from RNAcentral. Lineage: Eukaryota; Metazoa; Chordata; Mammalia; Perissodactyla; Equidae.
GACCAAAUUAACACUGGUCAGGAAAAGAGGCGCAGAAAUGGAGAUGGGGAAGGAGCCACUAGUGAGGCAGGAAGACAACCAGGAGAGCAUGGCAUCCUGGAAGCCAAGUAAAGAGAGGAAACAGGGAAAAGGAAAGGUGGACUGUGGGGUCAAGUGCUGUGGGGACUGAGGACUGAUCACUGCGUUGACUACAUGAAGUUGCUGGUGGUCUUCACAACAGUGGGUCGAUGGAGCGGUGGAAGACAAAGUCUUAAUGGAGUUGUUUUAGAAGAGAAAAACAGGAGAGGAAUUGUAGACAGGGAAUACAGACAACUGCUUUGAGGAGUGUUGCUGCAAAGGAGAGCAAAGAAAUGGAUUGUUUUCUUAGAGGAGGAAGCAAAGUUCCGAAAGAGAAGAGAGAAGAGAGGAGGUGUGAAUGCACUAGGCAAGGACAGUCUGAGUGCCUGACUCACCGGAAGUUUCCUAACAUGCAAUUAAAGUGAAACCAGAGUGCGGAUACUGCAGCGGCAACACUGAAUGGGGGAGUAGGAGAGAUGUGGAUUUCCUUAGGCACGUGGUCUUUCCAAACCAUGGAUUGAGAGAGGCAGAGAAGGCUGUGAGCAAGCCCAGCGCUGGACGACUACUUCCUCUGGAGGUGACCUGUUCUUUCUGCCUGGAACCUGUGAGAUUUUCUCAUCAUCCUUGAGGUUCAGGAAUUUCACCAGGUGAAAGAUUCUAGGUUGGCGCAAGGAGAAAUGCCAUGUGUCUCAGCUAUGCCAAGAAAUGAGACUGGAGUAGGCCAGAGCACCUGCCUGAGGAUCCAUCCAGGAAAGAGAACAGGGCAUCUGUAUUAGUCAGAGUUCUCCAGAGAAACAGAACCAAUAAGCGAGAGAGCAAGAUUAUGAAGAAUUGGCUUGUGUAGUUAUAGAGGCUGGCAAGUCCAAAAUCUG